CCCUAUUUAGCUGAGCUUGUAGGAGGUGAUCCUUGAAAAUCAUCCAACUCUUCUGGAUCUCCCUUCUCUCAUGGUCACUAAAGACAAGGCUGCCCCCAACAUGCAUAUCCCACCCAAUCCCUCCUUGUUUGCAAGUAUGAAGUCCAGCAGAGCAAUGCCCCUUGCUGGCCCCUUGAUCACCUCUUUGUCCUCCUUGCACUCCAGAAACCUCUUGGAUUACUUGUGUCUUGCUGUGUUGUCCCUCCAGCAGGUAUUGGGGUGGUUGAAGUCCCCCAUGAUGCUUCUUUCAGCUGUCUGCAGAAGGCCCCAUCAACCUCCUGUCUUCUUUUAAAGGCAGAAUUGCAGAAAAACACCUUAAGGCCUGGACCAGAAGAUAUCACACAGACACAGCGACCUUCAAGCCCAGAAAUUUGGAGGAGCUUCAAGGAUUGAACGUGCUUCAAGGAAGAUGAAGAUGAGGAAGAAGGGGUCCCAAAUACCCCCAGACUCAAUUCCUGAAGGGGCGGCACGGGGCAGAACCAGGGGGUGGACAAAUUGGGAUUGGAUGGACCUUAUUAUAAAAUCAUAGAACCACUGUCUGAAAGGGUAUGUAUUCCUGUGGGCCUAACGACUCAUUAAAGUUCCUGCUCUCUUCACCUUAUCUCCUACACUAAA
Long non-coding RNA from Pipra filicauda (Wire-tailed manakin), 654 nucleotides. RefSeq lists it as uncharacterized. NCBI's taxonomy places the organism in Eukaryota, Metazoa, Chordata, Aves, Passeriformes, Pipridae. The record is from RefSeq and is a predicted model, not a curated record. The transcript has 2 exons.